Molecule: long non-coding RNA, 2508 nt
Organism: Fukomys damarensis (Damara mole-rat)
Lineage: Eukaryota; Metazoa; Chordata; Mammalia; Rodentia; Bathyergidae
Exons: 3
Source: RefSeq, a predicted model, not a curated record
CGUGGGACGCCCGGUGCCGCCUAAACUGGGAGCUCAGCGAGGAUCAGCCGAUGGAGCUGCACUUUCUACUCGUGCGUCUGUGCGGCGGGCGGCUGAGAGGCGAGUCUUCGGCUAACAAGAGAGGCGAGAAGCGGCGCGGGUACGAGUGGGCAGCGGCGACAGCAGAAAUCCCCGUGAAGAGCUGUGAUCGAAAACGAUACAUGUUUCUCUCUAGCGCGGGAGCUAAGGCGGGGCGGGGGAGACCGCGACGCCUUAAGUAGCCAGACAGCUGCCUGAUGUCACCAGUGGAAGGAGGAGCUACAAUGUUCGCCAGCCAAUCGCUGAAGAUCUCCCCACUCGCUUCCACUGGAUCGGCACCUGGACCCUGACUCACAAUCCCAUGCAGCAAGUCUGCACUUCACGCCAGGGCUGCAGUCCUCGCGGGCGCACUGGACUUUGGGAAAUGUAGUAGGGGGGGCGGGGUCUCACGGGCCCCUGCCCUUUUCCCCAAGGCCUUCCUGCCCGCUCGCCUAGAGAGCUGUGACCCCGCCCCUUCCCGGAGCCGCCCGCCUUGGAAUGGAGAGGGCUGGCCGGCUCUGAGCCACGCGGCGGGAAUGCAGAUGACCGGCGCGGCCUCCAACCCUGAGCUGCGCCGUCCGCCCGUGCCCCACUUCUUUCAGUCUGCUUUGCCCUUUCCCCCGCUGCCCAAACACAACCUUACCCCUCCUUGGGAACUUUUCCAUAGCUGCAGUUGUUGGAUUAGUGUGGCGAUCAUCAGUACCUAUAAUCUAAAAGUGUUUGGGGGCCUUGUUGUCCACAGUCUUCCCCCAAAAGUGUGCUUUUAUCUACUUCAGUUGUGUCUUUCGUGUAGGGCUUGUAUUCUAGACCAGGAGACACCUGGCAUAUCUCAAAUUCAGUGUCACAGAUUGUACCCAAGGAUGCGUCCUUGACAAUCGUACCUGGGAUAAGAGUUUGAGAACUUGACAGCUGGUUAAACAAACACGAGCUAUAAAUAUCACUAAUUGCAGCAGGUUUGGUUUUGUUUCUCAAGGUGCUUCUAGAUCUCUUGUCUUCCUUGUUCCAUUUGUACUAUAUUUUGGGCCUGUAAUUAAGUUUGCAUUCUAUGCUUAUGACAGACCACACUCAAGGACUCACCUCAGCGUAGGUGACUCAUUCUCUACUCCACCUGUCACCUGAGCUUCGGCCUCUCAUUUCUUCCAUUCCACCUGACUGUCGCACUUGCAGCUCCGUCUAACAUCUGAAAGGUCCAGGACUUCCCUCCUCCCCUGUGCCCCUUCUGCUGUAGUCCUGUGUGUCACAUUUCAACGUCACAUUCACACAUGGUUCCUCUUUCUUUUCCAAAACUGAAAUCCACGGCCUGUUCACCAGUGACACACACAGCCUCAGUCUUUCUGCCCACGCUUCGUACCCAGUGAUACUUCAGGAUUUACUCAAACCUUGCACUUGCGAGCAACCUCACUACCUCAGACUUCUCCAGUCCGAUGCCAUCUCUCUCCUCUAUGAGAAUAUUAGAACUAUGAGAAAAGAGAUCCUGUCUACUUUUUCCUCACUACUUUAUCUUCAGUACUGGAACAGUAGUAGCACUUAGUAGAUAUUCAAUUAAUAUGACUAAAGAAGGAGGCUUCGAGUUCUUUGCAUCUAAUCCAUCUUUGUAAUGCAGUUCCUAGCACCAGCCUGGAAAGCAAGGGACACGCCAUACCCAUCUUUUAAAUGGAAUGAUCACUUUGCCGCUUUACUCGGAAGCCUUCACAGGCCUCUUGCCUGUAGAAGAAAAUGUUCACACUUUAGCACGAUUUGUGAACUUCUGAAAUCUGAAGCAACUAUUCAGCUUUGGCCUCUCCAACCAAUCAAGAUCACUUGGAAUUCCCCCAACAGACUCCUCUUCCCAGCAGAAAUACCUUUCCAGGCCUCUUCCUCAAACCUGGUGAAUGUCUUUCGCUAUUCAAGACCCAAAGGCAGUCUCUAUUCCUUGGCCAUCCGUCCUAUCCCUUUUACAGGUAGCCACCAAGUCUAAAUACGGACCUGCGUGGGACACUGCAGUGAGCCCCAGGCCUUCGACUGGACCCUUCAGAUCUCCAGUGCACACCCGGACUUUCUGCACUCUUCCACACCCGACUCUGUGGGUGGCCGUGACAAGCCAAUCUUGUAAAUUCUUAUAUAUUUGUACAUCUUGUACUAAAAUCCGUUUCUCUAGUAAGCAUUGACUGGUGCGGUCAACAAAUAUUUCUUGAUCACCAUUGUAUAAAACCAGCAAAACUGCAUCCAUUUAGCCAUCCAUAGUGAGUAUUGUUAACAUAACCCCCUCCCUCUUCCCACAAUCACUCUCGUCCCUGAUGCUUUUAGGCUGGAGGGGUGGGAAGAACCAGGACACCUGGGCAUGUGCCUUGGCGAUCACAUACUGCAUUUAUUCCAUUCAAUUUUCAUUCGUGGCUAAAACAUGUCUGCUUUGAACAAACACUCCCAUUUUCUAAAAAGGAGAAUGAUCUGCUUCUGUCAGCUCACUGUUUG